Molecule: small RNA, 78 nt
Filed under: Arabidopsis thaliana (thale cress)
Lineage: Eukaryota; Viridiplantae; Streptophyta; Magnoliopsida; Brassicales; Brassicaceae
Description: ATSL261780
Source: RNAcentral
AAGUUAAUACUUUUAAAUCUUCUGUCAUUGCAUAUAUCCAUAUAAGAGAAAUGAUCUUUGUUGGGUAUUAAAAAUAAU